UAAUAAGAAUAUUUGAUUUUGAUCCUGG
RNAcentral lists this non-coding RNA (28 nucleotides) under Rattus norvegicus (Norway rat). The record is from RNAcentral. Lineage: Eukaryota; Metazoa; Chordata; Mammalia; Rodentia; Muridae.